Molecule: long non-coding RNA, 352 nt
Organism: Diprion similis
Lineage: Eukaryota; Metazoa; Arthropoda; Insecta; Hymenoptera; Diprionidae
Exons: 3
Source: RefSeq, a predicted model, not a curated record
CAAUAUAAAUACGAUCACCGAUCGGUGGAUUCAUCAGACGCGGAAGUAAAGAAGUGACUCGAACGUUUGUGAGCGAUUCUAAAGCAAGCCUAAAUUAGCAUCAAGAUGCCGGCACCGGGUUGUGACAAGAGCUCAGGUUCAUGCCAAGGCUGCAACUGUGGAGGAAGCUGUAAAUGCAGCAGCGGUGGAGCAGGCAGCUGCAGUUGUCCACAGGGUGGAAAAUGCUCCUGCACCGGAUGCAAAUAAGCGGCUCUCCCAGACUUUUUGGAACAAGAUUUUAUCUCGACAUAUAGAUACUAUCGCUAUUAGAAUAUAGAUUAAAUACAAUGUGUAGUAUCACAUUGUAUAGUAA